AUGAAGGUCAGGCUGAAGACCUUACCCGAUUUAGCUGAGAGGUGGUGCAUGGCCGUCGUCAGUUCGUACUGUGAAGCAUCCUGUUAAGUCAGGCAACGAGCGAGACCCACGUCCACAGUUGCCAGCAUACCCUCCGGGGUGAUGGGUACACUGUGGAGACCGCCGCUGCUAAAGCGGAGGAAGGAGUGGGCAACGGUAGGUCAGUAUGCCCCGAAUCUCCCGGGCUACACGCGGGCUACAAUGGUUGGUACAAUGGGCAUCUACCCCGAAAGGGGAAGGAAAUCUCUUAAAGCCAAUCGUAGUUCGGAUUGAGGGCUGCAACUCGCCCUCAUGAAGCUGGAAUCCGUAGUAAUCGCGCAUCAGCAUGGCGCGGUGAAUACGUUCCCGGGCCUU
This 393-nucleotide ribosomal RNA is filed under the name uncultured Methanosaeta sp. RNAcentral describes it as "bacterial SSU rRNA". It matches the Rfam family "Archaeal small subunit ribosomal RNA", at positions 947 to 1338 of the family's 1478-position model. Lineage: Archaea; Methanobacteriati; Methanobacteriota; Methanomicrobia; Methanotrichales; Methanotrichaceae. The record is from RNAcentral.